AGAGUUUGAUCCUGGCUCAGAGUGAACGCUGGCGGCGUGCUUAACACAUGCAAGUCGAACGAGAACGGGUAUUAGCUUGCUAAUAUUGUCAGCUAAGUGGCGCACGGGUGAGUAAUAUAUAGUUAAUCUGCCCCAAAGAAGAGAAUAAUUGUUGGAAACGACUUGUAAUGCUCCAUAUGCCUUUAAGACAUAAGUCUGCAAGGGAAAUAUUUAUAGCUUUGGAUGAGACUGUACGGUAUCAGCUAGUUGGUGAGGUAAUGGCUCACCAAGGCAAUGACACCUAACUGGUUUGAGAGGAUGAUCAGUCACACUGGAACUGAGACACGGUCCAGACUCCUACGGGAGGCAGCAGUGGGGAAUAUUGCACAAUGGAGGAAACUCUGAUGCAGCAACGCCGCGUGGAGGAUGACACAUUUCGGUGCGUAAACUCCUUUUAUAUGAGAAGAUAAUGACGGUAUCAUAUGAAUAAGCACCGGCUAACUCCGUGCCAGCAGCCGCGGUAAUACGGGGGGUGCAAGCGUUACUCGGAAUCACUGGGCGUAAAGAGAAUGUAGGCGGGUAAUUAAGUUGGAAGUGAAAUCCUAUGGCUCAACCAUAGAACUGCUUCCAAAACUGAUUAUCUAGAAUAUGGGAGAGGUAGAUGGAAUUUCUGGUGUAGGGGUAAAAUCCGUAGAGAUCAGAAGGAAUACCGAUUGCGAAGGCGAUCUACUGGAACAUAAUUGACGCUGAGAUUCGAAAGCGUGGGGAGCAAACAGGAUUAGAUACCCUGGUAGUCCACGCCCUAAACGAUGCACACU
This 797-nucleotide ribosomal RNA is filed under the name uncultured bacterium. Its description in RNAcentral is "bacterial SSU rRNA". It matches the Rfam family "Bacterial small subunit ribosomal RNA", at positions 8 to 817 of the family's 1533-position model. The record is from RNAcentral.